RNAcentral lists this non-coding RNA (176 nucleotides) under Calcidiscus leptoporus. Lineage: Eukaryota; Haptophyta; Coccolithales; Calcidiscaceae. The record is from RNAcentral.
UCGGAGGUGGUGGCGCCAAGGCUGUGCGAGCGCGCGCUCCUAGAUUCGCCAUGGAGACUGAGUCGCGGGUGGAGGCUGAGGCUUGCUGGUCCUUCAACGAGCGGAUGCAGCUCUGGCAGCAAGCCCGACAGCAGCAAGCCCGACAGCUCGCGCGGCGGCGGUGGUUGCGCCUGUGU